UGAGGAAUAUUGGGCAAUGCCCGCAAGGGUGACCCAGCAACGCCGCGUGGAGGAUGAAUGUCGUAAGAUUGUACACUCCUGUUAGAGGGGAAGAAUAGUACCGGUUGGACCGGUAUAUGACUGUACCCUCAGAGAAAGCCCCGGCUAACUACGUGCCAGCAGCCGCGGUAAUACGUAGGGGGCAAGCGUUGUCCGGAUUUACUGGGUGUAAAGGGCGCGCAGGCGGGAUAACAAGUCAGAGGUGAAAUCCUACAGCUUAACUGUAGAACUGCCUUUGAUACUUUUAUUCUUGAGUUCGGGAGAGAGAGACGGAAUUCCAGGUGUAGUGGUGAAAUACGGAGAUAUCUGGAAGAACACCAGUGGCGAAGGCGGUCAACUGGCCCAUAACUGACGCUCAUGCACGAAAGCGUGGGGAGCAAACA
This 422-nucleotide ribosomal RNA is filed under the name uncultured bacterium. Its description in RNAcentral is "bacterial SSU rRNA". It matches the Rfam family "Bacterial small subunit ribosomal RNA", at positions 355 to 774 of the family's 1533-position model. The record is from RNAcentral.